Molecule: non-coding RNA, 569 nt
Organism: Peromyscus maniculatus bairdii (prairie deer mouse)
Lineage: Eukaryota; Metazoa; Chordata; Mammalia; Rodentia; Cricetidae
Source: RefSeq, a predicted model, not a curated record
AAGAACAAAUUGUUGUUGGUCCUACCUGGAGACGGUCUAGUGACGUGGAGGGUCCGGGUGUGGAUGGAGGCCGGGAGCCAGCGCGCUCACCCCUGCCCGGGCCGGCGGGAAGUGUCCUGUCCGUACACUGCGUCCCCGGGGUGCUUUUUGCCUUCCUUUUCUUUUUUAAAUAGUAUUGAGACAAUGUCUCACAAUGUAGUUCAGAGUGAUUUUGAACUCCUGACUUCCUGACCCAAUUUCUGAUGUGCUGGGAUUACAAGGCGUAACUACCACGCGUGACUCGGAAGGAAAAACAUUCACCUGUCAACAUACAUUUAGUUGAGUCUCGCCUUACAUCUUGCGGCUGCAGGACCUGGUGAUUCUGAGGCUUUCAGGUCAGUCUAAGAUACAUAAGAUCCUGGAGAGAGAGAGAAGAAAGAGAAAUGUGAAGAAGGGUGGGCAGAAGACAGUCGGUUUAACUCAGUUUCCUGAGUGAGAGUGUUAGUUAUAAUUGUGCACAUAAUCAUUGAUUUGCGCUUCAACUUUCAGAGAUAGUCUUUAGAAACAGAUAAAGCUCAUUUUCAGCUGUC